This is a non-coding RNA of Danio rerio (zebrafish), 1375 nucleotides long. Lineage: Eukaryota; Metazoa; Chordata; Actinopteri; Cypriniformes; Danionidae. The record is from RefSeq and is a predicted model, not a curated record.
UAUAGUAGCAGCAGUAGUAGUAGUAGUAGUAGUAGUAGUGUUUUCAAAGGUUUUCCACUGAAUCACCAGUUUCAAUAAGGCACCCACAUUUUAGAGAGUGUAGCUGCCUAUAUCCACAGAAAACAGUUCACUUUUUUUUCUUUGGUUUUGGGAUAAAGCCAGUGUCUAGCAAUUCUCCAUUUCGUAGUCUACCUGCUAUUACUUUGCGGUGCAUUGUGCAUGUCGGGACGUUCACAGUCUGAUGUUUUUCGCCGGUUAAUCUGAAUGAAGCAUUAAAUGGAAGAGCCUUCCGCCAUCCCUCAAAUAACACUGGAAUUAUUGUAAAAGCUUUCUGGUAAUUGGAUCAGAUGAGGCAGGUAAUCAAGGCUGAAGUUUUUUUGUUUGUUUUCCUUCUUUGGCCAAAGCAGCGCAGCCUCCUGUUCGGCAUUUCAAAGACGAGGGAAGAAAAAGCCUUUGACGUGACACUCAAAACCAAGAGCGUGAGCUGCCAGCAGUGACAAUGCUAGCGUGCUCGCUGUCUCGCCAUCAUAAAGCAGUUUGUUGAUGGGCUACCUGCCCUAGUCUGUCUGGUGCGGGACCGGUAAUACAAUCCGUCUCAUUCAGACAAGAGGAGACUGCCCCCAGGCAUCGUACUAUGCCCUUAAUCACGACAAAAGCUAAGAUGGGACUUAGAUAGCACAUCAGCCUUCCCUCAGAUUGCUAAUUAUGAUAUUAUUUUUCAGCCAUGGAGGCUGGAAUGGGCAGUUCCUUGGGUUGAAGAAGAGAUCCCGCGCUCCGAGGGAGUCUGGGAGAAAAAGUUGACCAUCUCCAGCAGUGUCGUGUGCUGCAAAUUAUCCUUUCAGCGUAACCUGCAUUGCCACUCGUAGUCCUCAAUCUCCGUAAGAAGCACUCAACCCAUAGUGUAUUUUUUCGCUGCCUUCACAUGCGGCGCAGGGCUCAAAAACUCCCUGGAACAUGGGAGCUGAGCGGCAUUCCAAAACAGUGAGGGAAAGACAUUACAGCAGCCAUUUCCUGAAAGGAGGGGAGGAAAGCUCUUACAAGGCACUUCUUAAUAGGAUCGCUGAGCGCUGAGGCCUUAAGCAGACUACUCGUCUCCAAACAUCUUCAGGAAUAAAAUACAACCUUGGGUUUUGACAGUGUAAAACGUCUAUUUUCUUACCUCUAAGCAACACAAAUACAGAAUUUGCUGGAAGCAAUUUUAGAUUUGUUUCAAGGGGACAUGUUAAUGGCACAAAUUUCUGAAAGGAACAGUCGAAUAAUAAGAAGAUUUCCUUGAGAAACCUGUUUGGAAAUAAUCAUUAUUGCCAUUUUUGCUUAUUUUUGUGUCAGCCACUAGAGGAUAGACAUUGUCAAAUUAAUAAAUUAUCAUUCUUCA